RNAcentral lists this ribosomal RNA (462 nucleotides) under uncultured bacterium. RNAcentral's name for it is "partial 16S ribosomal RNA". It matches the Rfam family "Bacterial small subunit ribosomal RNA", at positions 28 to 507 of the family's 1533-position model. The record is from RNAcentral.
GACGAACGCUGGCGGCGUGCUUAACACAUGCAAGUCGAGCGGUAAGGCCUUUCGGGGUACGCGUGCGGGGAACGCGAGCGUAUCACUAGGGCGAUCUGACCUGCACUUCGGGAUAGGCAUGGGAAACUGGAACUAGUACCAAAACUGACCUGCUAUCGCUGCGUGAGGGGGGGAGAGAUUUAGCGGUGCGGGAUGGGCCCGCGGCUUAUCAGCUUGUUGGUGGGGUAGUGGCCUACCAAGGCCACGACGGGUAGCCGACCUGAGAGGGUGACCGGCCACAUUGGGACUGAGACACGGCCCAGACUCCUACGGGAGGCAGCAGUGGGGAAUAUUGCACAAUGGGCGAAAGCCUGAUGCAGCGACGCCGCGUGAGGGAUGACGGCCUUCGGGUUGUAAACCUCUUUCGCCUGUGACGAAGCGCGAGUGACGGUAAUUGGAGAAGAAGCACCGGCUAACUACGUG